CCCUUAGAUGUUCUGGGCUGCACGCGCGCUACACUGAUGCGCUCAACGAGUUUAUGACCUUGCCCGGAAGGGUUGGGUAAUCUUCUUAAAACGCAUCGUGAUGGGGAUAGAUUAUUGCAAUUAUUAGUCUUGAACGAGGAAUUCCUAGUAAGCACAAGUCAUCAGCUUGUGUUGAUUACGUCCCUGCCCUUUGUACACACCGCCCGUCGCUCCUACCGAUUGAAUGUUCCGGUGAGCUCUUCGGACUGCGCGGUCUGCAGUUUCUGCGUUCCGUGCGGAAAGUUGCGCAAACCUUAACAUUUAGAGGAAGGAGAAGUCGUAACA
RNAcentral lists this ribosomal RNA (324 nucleotides) under uncultured eukaryote. RNAcentral describes it as "partial 18S ribosomal RNA". It matches the Rfam family "Eukaryotic small subunit ribosomal RNA", at positions 1470 to 1796 of the family's 1831-position model. The record is from RNAcentral.